GACGAACGCUGGCGGCGUGCCUAAAUACAUGCAAGUCGAGCGGACCGAAGGGAGCUUGCUCCUUUAGGUUAGAGGCGGACGGGUGAGUAACACGUGGGCAACCUGCCCUGCAGACUGGGAUAACUUCGGGAAACCAGAGCUAAUGCCGGAUAACAUUUGGAACCGCAUGGUUCUAAAGUAAAAGAUGGUUUUGCUAUCACUUAUAGAUGGACCCGCGCCGUAUUAGCUAGUUGGUAAGGUAACGGCUUACCAAGGCAACGAUACGUAGCCGACCUGAGAGGGUGAUCGGCCACACUGGAGCUGAGACACGGUCCAG
RNAcentral lists this ribosomal RNA (316 nucleotides) under uncultured bacterium. Its description in RNAcentral is "bacterial SSU rRNA". It matches the Rfam family "Bacterial small subunit ribosomal RNA", at positions 28 to 334 of the family's 1533-position model. The record is from RNAcentral.